CAUUACUGAACUGUCGACACGAGUUGUUGCUGGUCCUCAAAUGNNGNNAUGUGCACACUCUGUUUACACACCCACUCACACCUGUGCACCCUCUGUAGUUCUGUGGCGUGGGGGANCCUGUCCUCCCGCCGUGGUUCUAUGUCUUUACACACACUCGGUGAUAAAGUCUUAUGGAAUGUAUCUAGCGUUUAACGCAAUAAAAUACAACUUUCAGCAACGGAUCUCUUGGCUCUCGCAUCGAUGAAGAACGCAGCGAAAUGCGAUAAGUAAUGUGAAUUGCAGAAUUCAGUGAAUCAUCGAAUCUUUGAACGCACCUUGCGCCCUUUGGCUAUUCCGAAGGGCAUGCCUGUUUGAGUAUCAUGAACACCUCAACUCUCAUGGUUUGCCAUGAUGAGCUUGGACUUUGG
Molecule: unclassified non-coding RNA, 407 nt
Filed under: uncultured fungus
Lineage: Eukaryota; Fungi
Description: sequence contains ITS1, 5.8S rRNA gene, ITS2
Rfam family: 5.8S ribosomal RNA (bases 206-360)
Source: RNAcentral